CCAAAAUGUGAAGUAUUUUGCUAGAUGAUCCAAAAUUAUCAUAAUUUUAAAUGCCACUGCAUCAGUCAAACAAGUAAGCUUGUUAUAUUCAUUGUGAUAACUUCACUCCCAUAAGAGGUGUCAAUAACUUAAGUCAUCACUUGCAGAGGUAUUGAAACCAGAGUUUGAAAUAGAAAAUGUAACAGGUUUGAAAUUCAAACUGGAUCUGUAUUUUGUGGUAGUAGGCAUUGUGUUUAAGUUUCAUAAUAUUUGGUUGCAGAAUUUAAAACUUUGGGAACUGAAACUGUUUUAGGUGUACAUAUCCAGGAGUAAAUCUUGAUGACCCUCUGUUACAGCAGGGGCAUAACAAUGUUUUCAUAAAGCAAAAAGUUUUUUCGAAGGUGAAAUAGCAAACACUUUUUCUUUUGGCCUGACUCAGUGGUUGAUAAACUAAAUCAACAUCAAACAUAC
RNAcentral lists this long non-coding RNA (450 nucleotides) under Mytilus galloprovincialis (Mediterranean mussel). The record is from RNAcentral. Lineage: Eukaryota; Metazoa; Mollusca; Bivalvia; Mytilida; Mytilidae.